RNAcentral lists this ribosomal RNA (440 nucleotides) under uncultured bacterium. RNAcentral's name for it is "partial 16S ribosomal RNA". It matches the Rfam family "Bacterial small subunit ribosomal RNA", at positions 338 to 795 of the family's 1533-position model. The record is from RNAcentral.
CCUACGGGAGGCUGCAGUAGGGAAUAUUGCUCAAUGGGGGAAACCCUGAAGCAGCAACGCCGCGUGGAGGAUGAAGGUUUUAGGAUUGUAAACUCCUUUUGUGAGAGAAGAAAAGGACGGUAUCUUCCGAAUAAGCAGUGGCCAACUCCGGGCAAGCAGCCGCGGUAAUAAGGAGGGUGCAUGGGUUACCCGGAAGCACUGGGCGUAAAGAGUGCGUAGGCGGGCUUGUAAGUCAGAUGUGAAAUCCUGUAGCUUAACUAAAGGACUGCAGUUGAAACUAUGAGUCUAGAGUGUGGGAGAGGUAGGUGGAAUUCUUGGUGUAGGGGUAAAAUCCGUAGAUAUCAAGAAGAAUACUCAUUGCGAAGGCGGCCUACUGGAACAUUACUGACGCUCAUGCACGAAAGCGUGGGGAGCAAACAGGAUUAGAUACCCGAGUAGUC